Molecule: long non-coding RNA, 680 nt
Filed under: Mustela putorius furo (domestic ferret)
Lineage: Eukaryota; Metazoa; Chordata; Mammalia; Carnivora; Mustelidae
Description: lncRNA (ENSMPUG00000026808.1)
Source: RNAcentral
CGGCAAGCUUGCUUUGAAUAUGGAGUGGAGAAUUUGAGCUCUGUCUUUACACACUGGGGUACCAUUUGUGUUUUCUGAGGAAAGGGGUAAUAAAAUCAGAGCCGGGCCAUAACAGCCUUUAUCAGAUAAUGGUCCAGAGGAUGUCUUUAAGGAGGGGCAGACCCCAGUGUGGAGACCAGUUAGACAAGAGGUGGGGACAUACGGUGGGGAGAUAUGUUGAGAAGGAGCAAACUGACAGGAUUAAUAACUGAUGAUAUGAGAGGGAAUGAAGGAGAAGCCAAGAUGGCGCCAUACUUCACUUGCCUCAGUGGAGAGAGGGAGACUCAGAGGUGGAAGAUAUUUGGGGCUGAGAAUGGAAAAAAAAAGGCCCACCGGAAUGCUGGAGUUGCUGCUUGCAGAACUUAUAAAAAGAAAUGGAUCUAAGUGGUACAAGGGAUGGACCAUAACAGAUGCUGUGAUAUGCCAUCUGGCUCAUGCUUCAAGACCAAAGGACUUAUUCCCCCAAGUUCCUGGGAGUUCUGCUGGUCAUUGACCUUCAGCAAUCAGCACUUUUUUUGACGUGGGACCUCCAGGCUUCCUCCACAGACUAGACUGGAGAACACGAGACAGGUAUUCCCAGCCCAGAGUGAUGGCUAAAUGCUUGUGCAUGUUUCCUGUGCUGAGAUCCUUCAUUAGCCCAG